Molecule: ribosomal RNA, 253 nt
Filed under: uncultured bacterium
Lineage: Bacteria
Description: partial 16S ribosomal RNA
Rfam family: Bacterial small subunit ribosomal RNA
Source: RNAcentral
GACAGAGGCCUCAAGCGUUAGGCGGAAUCACUGGGCUUAAAGCGUGUGUAGGCGGGUCGUUAAGUACCUUGUGAAAUCCCACGGCUCACCCGUGGAACUGCUGGGUAUACUGGCGAUCUUGGGCCAUUCAGGGGCAACUGGAACAAGCGGUGGAGCGGUGAAAUGCGUAGAUAUCGGGAGGAACACCGGUGGCGAAGGCGGUUCUCUGGGCCUUACCUGACGCUGAGGAGCGAAAGCGUGGGGAGCGAACAGG